UACGUAGGGGGCGAGCGUUGUCCGGAUUUAUUGGGCGUAAAGAGCGUGUAGGCGGCCAGGUAGGUCUGCUGUGAAAACUCGAGGCUCAACCUCGAGACGUCGGCGGAAACCAUCUGGCUAGAGUCCGGAAGAGGAGAGUGGAAUUCCUGGUGUAGCGGUGAAAUGCGUAGAUAUCUGGAGGAACACCGGUGGCGAAGGCGGCAUCCUGGACCAUUACUGACACUGAAAAGCGAAAGCCAGGGGAGCAAACGGG
This 253-nucleotide ribosomal RNA is filed under the name uncultured bacterium. Its description in RNAcentral is "partial 16S ribosomal RNA". It matches the Rfam family "Bacterial small subunit ribosomal RNA", at positions 524 to 776 of the family's 1533-position model. The record is from RNAcentral.